This 393-nucleotide long non-coding RNA is filed under the name Musa acuminata (dwarf banana). RNAcentral describes it as "long non-coding RNA (MACU_LNC000114)". The record is from RNAcentral. Lineage: Eukaryota; Viridiplantae; Streptophyta; Magnoliopsida; Zingiberales; Musaceae.
UGCAAGUGCCUUCUCUUCUCCGGGUUUCACCACAACCAAAGCUCCAACAUUGUGUUGUGUCAUCUAAAAGAGGUAGAAUAUUGAGCCAUCAGUUCAUAUACGACUGUCCAAAACAAGUAGUUGGUUCACACAGUAUAUAUGCAUAUGCUUGGUUAUACUAUAUAUACCUCACAUUUCAUUUGAUAUUCCUAUAGGAAAUCAAUAAACGAGUAUUAAUGCAAAAAGCAGCAUACCGAUUUCACAGCAUCAUAAACAGUGUCAUUAGUUGUACACCACAGCCAGGAACCAUCAGCACUCUUGCCUUUAGCUUUCAGAAUAUCUAGGAUAGUGGUGCUCUCAAAUCCAUGCUCUUCCAGUCGAGGUGAAGAGACUGACUUGAAUCGUGAAAACACA